RNAcentral lists this non-coding RNA (28 nucleotides) under Rattus norvegicus (Norway rat). The record is from RNAcentral. Lineage: Eukaryota; Metazoa; Chordata; Mammalia; Rodentia; Muridae.
UGGCAAACUAUGAUGCUGUACCAGAAAA